GGUGGAUUUUUAGCCCUGGUGGGUAGCUUCCCGGAAACGAAAGUCUUCCGGUUCCGGGGGAAGUAUGGUUGCAAAGCUGAAACUUAAAGGAAUUGACGGAAGGGCACCACCAGGAGUGGAGCCUGCGGCUUAAUUUGACUCAACACGGGGAAACUCACCCGGCCCGGACACCGUAAGGAUUGACAGAUUGAUAGCUCUUUCAUGAUUCGGUGGUUGGUGGUGCAUGGCCGUUCUUAGUUCGUGGAUCGAUUUGUCUGGUUUAUUCCGAUAACGAGCGAGACUCUAGCCUACUAAAUAGUAACGAGAUUAUCAAUGUCUCAGUUGCUUCUUAGAGGGAUUUUCGGUGUUUAGCCGCACGAGAUUGAGCAAUAACAGGUCUGUGAUGCCCUUAGAUGUCCGGGGCUGCACGCGCGCUACACUGGCGAAAUCAGCGUGCUGUAUCCAUUCUCGAAAGGGAUUGGUAAACCCAUGAAAAUUUGCCGUGCUUGGGAUCGGAAAUUGCAAUUAUUUUCCGUGAACGAGGAAUUCCAAGUAAGUGCGAGUCAUCAAC
Molecule: ribosomal RNA, 550 nt
Filed under: Acrobeloides sp. GSt31
Lineage: Eukaryota; Metazoa; Nematoda; Chromadorea; Rhabditida; Cephalobidae
Description: SSU rRNA
Rfam family: Eukaryotic small subunit ribosomal RNA
Source: RNAcentral